RNAcentral lists this ribosomal RNA (668 nucleotides) under uncultured bacterium. RNAcentral describes it as "bacterial SSU rRNA". It matches the Rfam family "Bacterial small subunit ribosomal RNA", at positions 163 to 807 of the family's 1533-position model. The record is from RNAcentral.
CUAAUACCGAAUAAGUUCCAAGAGCCGCAUGGCCCAUGGAAGAAAAGGUGGCCUCUACCUGUAAGCUAUCGCCUGAAGAGGGGUUUGCGUCUGAUUAGCUGGUUGGAGGGGUAACGGCCCACCAAGGCGACGAUCAGUAGCCGGUCUGAGAGGAUGAACGGCCACACUGGAACUGAGACACGGUCCAGACUCCUACGGGAGGCAGCAGUGGGGAAUCUUCCGCAAUGGGCGAAAGCCUGACGGAGCAACGCCGCGUGAGUGAUGACGGCCUUCGGGUUGUAAAACUCUGUGAUCCGGGACGAGAAGGCAGAGUGCGAAGAACAAACUGCAUUGACGGUACCGGAAAAGCAAGCCACGGCUAACUACGUGCCAGCAGCCGCGGUAAUACGUAGGUGGCAAGCGUUGUCCGGAAUUAUUGGGCGUAAAGCGCGCGCAGGCGGCUUCCCAAGUCCCUCUUAAAAGUGCGGGGCUUAACCCCGUGAUGGGAAGGAAACUGGGAAGCUGGAGUAUCGGAGAGGAAAGUGGAAUUCCUAGUGUAGCGGUGAAAUGCGUAGAGAUUAGGAAGAACACCGGUGGCGAAGGCGACUUUCUGGACGAAAACUGACGCUGAGGCGCGAAAGCGUGGGGAGCAAACAGGAUUAGAUACCCUGGUAGUCCACGCCGUAAAC